GCGAGCUGGUACUGCACAGGUGUCCUAUUGUAAAGAUUUGAAGGACUUCGGAAAAUGAUCUCCGCUUUCCUUUUUCGAAGAUCCUCAGAAUUACUAAGAAAAUGCAUCGGACCCCAUGCGCCUCCUCCCCCACGCCAAACCUUCGGGCUUCGCACGACGGGUGAACUAUUGCUGUCGACAGCAACCAAUUCACGCCUUUACACCAAAACAGCCACAGCCGCACCAAACAUGCCGCUGGGUCGGUACCGCGAGCUGUUGAUAGGAUGCCAGAAGUCCGGUAUUAACCCCAGUUCUGGUACGCGUAUAGCGUGUUGUGAUGCCUGCUAGGCAGAGCUUAGGAGUACCCAAGGCUGCUAGGCAUCAUCUGUCCAAGCAGGUCAAGACAGAGCUGGAACCAGAAAACAAGUAAAUUCAGUAAUUUGGCAUAAAAGCAAUGAAAUCAGUCAACAAUGCAAUGAGCCUGAAAAGGUUCAUGCUGAGGCAGGAGGUUCUCCACAUGUACAGAGAUAUCCUGAGAGCAUUGAGAGGAGUUCCAGAGAAGGAUAGGAGUGCAUUGAAGACGUGGGUCAGGGAGGAGUUUGAACUUCAUCGGUCUGUUGAGGAUGAG
Long non-coding RNA from Pollicipes pollicipes, 607 nucleotides. RefSeq lists it as uncharacterized. Lineage: Eukaryota; Metazoa; Arthropoda; Thecostraca; Pollicipedomorpha; Pollicipedidae. The record is from RefSeq and is a predicted model, not a curated record. The transcript is spliced from 3 exons.